Long non-coding RNA from Chrysemys picta bellii (western painted turtle), 803 nucleotides. RefSeq lists it as uncharacterized. Lineage: Eukaryota; Metazoa; Chordata; Testudines; Emydidae. The record is from RefSeq and is a predicted model, not a curated record.
UGUCCAAGUAACGCUCCCCACGGGCGAUUUGCGACCCCCCCCCCAGGGCAGCCUGCCCCUCUGUGGGGAGCGGAACUGGCCCGCUCUGGGGACGGGGACUCCGCACUCCCGGCCCCCCCGUGGCUGUGGGACGGGCUUGCCUCAGCGCCAGGCGGGGUAAAGCCGCCCCCACAAAGGAGAAGUCCAGGAAAGCCAGACAUACCAAGGUCCUGCAGAACUGCUGAUUAAGGCUCAGGUUGGCUACCCCUGCUCGAGUCCUUACUGCGGGUACCCUUCUUUGAACACUAGAGAAGGCUACCGUGGCCCUGAUCUUACAAACAAGUAAGUAGGAGGUUGGAACAUUAGGUGUGGUAGAGUUUUGCAACAGAAUCUUAAGAGCAUGUGUAUGCCCACUUCAGUCACAGGGUAGCUGGUCUCUGUGGACAGACACAGCCAGGCUCCCCUGGAAAUUCAGCUAAUUAAAGAGGACUGGGCUACACCUGGGCCUACAAAGGGCUGCUAGCGGGCAUCUGAAGGAAGGACUGAGACAGACUGAACCCUGCACUGGCAGAGGAAGCUGUACUGGAGUGGAGCUAACUUCUGUGGCAGCCCCUAGAGCAAGAGGCCAGGGAAACAGUCCUGUGUCUGCUGCUCCAAGUGGGGAGUAGAGCUGAGUGAAGCUGGAAGGCUGCCAGGAGCUGGAAUGCCGCCAGAGACCCCUGGAAGAGGUGGCCCUGAAGCCUGGAACCAAGAACUGGGUUAAGACACAGUUUUCUGUUAAUUUCCUAAACUCGGUUAUGAAAAAUAAACCUCCUUGACUGAGA